UCAGCCAUCAGAUCAGAUAGGAACCUCUAAUGUGUGUGACCCCACAGGUUCGAACCUAAGUCGGUAGCACAGGAAUCAAUUUCUGUACUAAUCGAAGUGACCAUCUAGCAAUGGUACCCGACAUUCGGAUAGGUCAAAGAGUCGCAAUCUCAACACUCAGAACCUACAUGAAUAUGAUUACUGUAUAAUUCAUCCUUUUGACCCCUGUGUUUAGGAUGACUCAGGGUUAAACUGUCAACCCUGAUCAGAUCAUCCGAAUCAUGCUCAACUUAAACAAUCCUAUGACUCCUCACAAGGACUACCCUGGCCAAGGUUUUGCUAAAUUGA
Molecule: long non-coding RNA, 327 nt
Filed under: Elaeis guineensis (African oil palm)
Lineage: Eukaryota; Viridiplantae; Streptophyta; Magnoliopsida; Arecales; Arecaceae
Description: long non-coding RNA (EGUI_LNC063699)
Source: RNAcentral